RNAcentral lists this ribosomal RNA (253 nucleotides) under uncultured bacterium. Its description in RNAcentral is "partial 16S ribosomal RNA". It matches the Rfam family "Bacterial small subunit ribosomal RNA", at positions 524 to 776 of the family's 1533-position model. The record is from RNAcentral.
UACGUAGGGUGCGAGCGUUAAUCGGAAUUACUGGGCGUAAAGCGUGCGCAGGCGGUUCGUUAAGUCAGACGUGAAAGCCCCGGGCUCAACCUGGGAACUGCAUUUGAAACUGGCGGGCUUGAGUGUGGCAGAGGGGGGUGGAAUUCCGCGUGUAGCAGUGAAAUGCGUAGAGAUGCGGAGGAACACCGUUGGCGAAGGCAGCCCCCUGGGCCAACACUGACGCUCAGGCACGAAAGCGUGGGGAGCAAACAGG